AGAGUUUGAUCCUGGCUCAGAACGAACGCUGGCGGCGUGCUUAACACAUGCAAGUCGAGUGCGCGCCUGUAGCAAUACAGGUGGCGCACGGCGCACGGGUGCGUAACACGUGGGCAAUCUGCCCUCUGAUGGGGAAUAACCCGCCGAAAGGCGGGCUAAUACCGCAUAAAUUCCUUGGACUUAUGUUCGAGGACUCAAAGGCGUAAGUCGUCGGAGGAGGAGCCGCGCACGAUUAGCUAGUUGGUAGGGUAAUGGCCUACCAAGGCUUUGAUCGUUAGCUGGUCUGAGAGGAUGGCCAGCCACACUGGAACUGAGACACGGUCCAGACUCCUACGGGAGGCAGCAGUGGGGAAUCUUGCACAAUGGGCGAAAGCCUGAUGCAGCGACGCCGCGUGGGGGAUGAAGCAUUUCGGUGUGUAAACCCCUUUCGAUCCGGACGAAUGCCUCGCAAGAGGAGUGACGGUACGGAUAUAAGAAGCCCCGGCUAACUACGUGCCAGCAGCCGCGGUAAGACGUAGGGGGCCAGCGUUGUUCGGAAUUACUGGGUGUAAAGGGUUCGUAGGCGGUGUGGCAAGUUGGGUGUGAAAUCUCUGGGCUCAACCCAGAGACUGCUUCCAAAACUGCUGUGCUUGAGUGUGAGAGAGGCUCGUGGAAUUGCAGGUGUAGCGGUGAAAUGCGUAGAUAUCUGCAGGAACACCCGUGGCGAAAGCGGCGAGCUGGAUCACUACUGACGCUGAGGAACGAAAGCUAGGGGAGCAAACAGGAUUAGAUACCCUAGUAGUCC
RNAcentral lists this ribosomal RNA (784 nucleotides) under uncultured bacterium. RNAcentral's name for it is "bacterial SSU rRNA". It matches the Rfam family "Bacterial small subunit ribosomal RNA", at positions 8 to 796 of the family's 1533-position model. The record is from RNAcentral.